Molecule: RNA transcript, 2456 nt
Organism: Populus trichocarpa (black cottonwood)
Lineage: Eukaryota; Viridiplantae; Streptophyta; Magnoliopsida; Malpighiales; Salicaceae
Exons: 5
Source: RefSeq, a predicted model, not a curated record
GGUUAGCAUAGAUUUUAAAGUAUCCAUAUAGGGUUCGAUUAGUGGCCCAGUGGCAUUUAUAUUCCUUUCUAGCAUGGCAGCGAUAUCGAUAUUAACAACAUCCCGCUCGCCCAGGCUGGGAAGGAUGGCAUAAAUUCGAAGCUUGACAUUGCAAUUGCUAUGACAUGGAUCGAAAAUCGUUCGUUGUUUUUACCCAUUCGGCAAGUGUACCACACUACCACCGAUUCAUGGAAGCUUCUUUUUCCAGAUGCAGCCGCUUCUUUCUUAUGGGAAGAUUUCGGUAGACCAAGAUUACUGGAAUUUUUAGUUGAAGGGACUGAUUCACUGAAAUCAUUGGAAUACAAUAUUGAUGAGAUUCUUGAACACCAACCAAAACAUGCAGUAGGUCACCCUGCUAGAGCAUUACGUGUUACGAUUCUGAAGGAAGGCAAAAUGAAUAUCGUUAGGAUCAGUGACUGGAUGCCAGAAAAUGAGCCUUCUUUGAUAACAGGUAGAAGAGUCCAACCACCAUCACCACAACCUUCUGGAAAUGUCUCUCCACAACAGCAGUUGCCAUCCUCCACAGGUUGUAAAUUUCAUGUAGUUCUUGAGCUUGCUGGGCUUGGAACAUCUGUUACCGAACACACACCGAGGAGAUUUUAUACCUGUCAGUCCAGAAUCUCCUUUUAGCAUAUUCUACUGAUUUUAGUAGGUAAGACACUGUCUUUGAAUUGAUUUUUCAUUCUGUAGAAUGAUUUGUCAGGUUACCAUCUUCAAUGUAGUUUUACAAAGUUGAGCAUCAGGGGUGAGCAAAGAGCUUGUAUUGUUGAUUUCAAAUUUUUUUUUUUUUUUUUUGAAUGCAUGCUUGGUUGUCUCGUAAACACUUCUCUCCUAAUGGUUUUAGUGGAUCCCUUGUGAUGUUCAUGGACAUCCAAAUGACUCUUGGUAUGUAUUUUAUACUUGUUUUGUAUUUUUGUCUCAUGGUGUUUGAGUACAGGUUUUUGGUUUACUUUAAGGAUUGCAUAGAUCAAGAAGCUGGAACAGAGUAUUACUAUUUAUAUCCAAGAUCCAAGAGCUCCAGAUGAAUGCCUAGCUUAGUGAUUGUAGAUAAUAUCAUUGAAGUUUCUGUACCAAUUCUCUCAGAAAUUUUUACCAUAUGUGCUUUCUUGUCACUAGCAUUAUUAGGAGCGUGUAGAUUAUAUACUGAUUUUUUUUUUCAAUUAUCUGAAUUGAAAAGUUGAAAGGGAAAUUUUUUUUUCUUCUGGUGGUUCCAACCUUCAUGAAUUUUGCUGGGGCAAAUUAUAUGAUACAAAAAACAACCGUUGUGUCAGUUGAUCCAAUUAUUCAAAUUGGGUAUGCUAAAACCUAUCUUGAAACAUAGCUUUUGCACAGAUCAAACUUAGUUUUUAUCUAAUAUUCUUCCAAUUACAGUGUUAUUAACAUCUCAGAAGUUCGAUUCAAAGCCUCAAUGGCUAUGUCACCUAGUCAAAUGCUAAGAGGAGUGCUUGGGUUCUGGUCUUCCUGGAUGACUGCUCUGAGCAGCACUGAAAAUAUGCCUGUGAGAUAAAAUCAAAGAUUUAAUGAGAGCAUUUGCACAAGACAAAGUACUAGGAUCGGUAUCGCUGUCUCAAACAUUGAAAAGGAUUUCUUGGCCAACCUCUUCAACUGCUCUCCGGUGUUGAUAUUUUGGGCAUUGCAAGCAGUGCGCCUGGACAUAUGAGUAAAGGUUAAGCCACUUCAUCGAUGGAUAAAAAAUUCAUCCAGAUUCGGCAGAGACAGAUGGAGAGUGGUUGAUAAAGCAUAUGGGUGAAUUUUAUGAAAAAAAUUAUGCCGCCUCAUCCCGGAGACAUGGUGAGUGCCAGGAUACCAAAAUUUGGCUGACAUUGAAGGAUUUCUCAUCCCCGCCCUGAUACCAUUCCUGAGAACAAGGGUGUAGAGGACCUUGGUGAUGUCAUUAGGGAGGGAGGCGGAGGGCUAGCAAAAGGCCUGCUUAGAGGAGUUACUGGCAUUCUAACAAAGCCUCCUGAAGAAGCAAAAAAUUCAGGUUUUGUUCAGGGAGUUGGAAAAGGAAUAACAGGUGCAGCUGCCCAGCCAGUCAGUUGGGCUUCCUUGUGCUAUUACUGGCGAUGAUUUGCAUCGACCUUACAAUGACUACAGAGCCCAAGGACAGGUAGCCUUGCUUGUGUAAUUUACAGAUCAUGGUUUGACUUUUCUGGUCUUUUAAUGAGUUGUCGUGAUUCCGAUAUACUAAGAAUCUGACAAAUUCUUUCAUACAAGUUGGUAUAGAUAUAUUGAAUUGCUUGCAUUUAGAUGUAUGUAUGCAUAUCUAGCAGAUGAGAAUUUCUCUUUAAGAUUGUAGGGAGAGAGGGGGGGCACAUGAAGGAAAGAAAGAUAGAAUUACUUGCAUGAUUUUUUUCUUUACCUGAAUAAAUUACAGGCUACCACAAUGUUCUUAUGGUGGGAACUUAUUUUGGACA